Molecule: long non-coding RNA, 894 nt
Filed under: Homo sapiens (human)
Lineage: Eukaryota; Metazoa; Chordata; Mammalia; Primates; Hominidae
Description: HSALNT0403539
Source: RNAcentral
CCCGGCCGACGGCCCACCUGGGCUUCGUGAACAGUGGGAGGGAGAGUCUGGGGCCAGGAGAGGGACGGUGCAGGAUCAGGGAAAGUUCCAGAAAAGUCUAAGAUCAAGAUGCAGAUAGGAUUGGAAUCCUCAGAGGUCUCCUUGGCUUGCAGAUGGCUGCACCCUUGCUAAGUCCUCACACGUUCUUUCCUCUGCACAGGUACCUCUGGUAUUUCUGUGUGUCCUAAUCUCCUCCUCUUACAAGAAUACCAGCCAGAUUAUAUUAGGGCCCACGCCAGUGGCCUUAAUUUAAUUAGCUCUUCAAAGGCCCUACCCAAAUACAGUCAUGUUCUAAGGUACUGGGGGUUAGGGCUUCAACAUAUGAAUUUUGGGGGAACAUAAGUCUAUAACCAAACCUCUAAAAUUCCCCUAAAAUUAUUCUCACAUUUUAAGCUACUCUGAUGUCCGUCCUUGGGAGUGGAUUCCUUCUACUUUUUAUUCAUGUCCUUUUGAAAUCAGAAACCUUCCUAGGUAAUUAGAAUAUUUCUUUAGCUGCUUCCUGGUUGAAUAUAUGGAUUACUUAGCCACUCCAGACUUCCGGUAGUGUUGGGAAUUACCAUGCUUUCCAUGAAGAUGUGAGCUUGCUGGGUAUCAUGUACGUUGGCAGACGCAGUGACGUAUUUGAGAGUUUCACAUGCCUCUUAACCUGUCUUUCCUCCCAGAACCGUGUGCUAACUCCUCAUCAAAGACCAGAAGUAGAUCCUGAAUUGUAUUCAUUCUCAUCUCUUUCUACCUCCUCCAAGACAGAAGGACAUGAUUAACUUCUUUAUCUCAAUGUCAGCCUUCAAUAGCUACAAAAGUCUAAACUGUAAAUAGCGUUGAAGCUUUGCAUAAUAAAAUUCUUUUCCCCAGUGA